Molecule: long non-coding RNA, 1198 nt
Organism: Ictalurus punctatus (channel catfish)
Lineage: Eukaryota; Metazoa; Chordata; Actinopteri; Siluriformes; Ictaluridae
Source: Ensembl
AUGGGAGUGGUGGGCUGAGGUGAUACUGGAACAGGGGAGACAGCGGUGGAAACAUUUCGAGCAGGUUUUUCAGCUUGGUGAGGUGGUGCAUGUCACAAUAAAUAAAUAAAAAUUAAAUAAAAUAAAUAAGUACAAAUAGAAUUCAAUAUCAACAAGUCUAUUAAAUGAGAGUAUAAUUGCUGAACAUAUUGGCAAAGGACAUGUCAGUACAGCAAACAACAACACUACUACUACUACUACUAAUAAUAAUAAUAAUAAUAAUAAUAAUAAUAAUAAUAAUACAGCCACAGUUACAUGCUGCUGGGGUUGAACAAUUUGACGGUUUAAUAUCAAUUAUCACAAUAUAUGUCAUCAUAAUCUUUUUUUCUGAGAUCUCACCAGAUAUCUUGAUAUCUUUUCCUCUGGUUUUAUGCAUUUAAUAUAAUUUAAAAAACAAUAAAUAAAUAAAAAGAAUUACACUGGUAAUAGAUAGAUAGAUAGAUAGAUAGAUAGAUAGAUAGAUAGAGAGAUAGAUAGAUAGAUAGAUAGAUAGAUAGAGAGAGAGAGAUACAUAGAUACAUAAAUACUAUAGAUAGAUAAAUAGACAGAGAGAUAGAGAGAGAUAGAUAGAUGGAGAGAUAGAUAGACAGAGAGAUAGACAGAGAGAUAGAUAGAUACUGUAGAUAGAUAGAUAGACAGAGAGAUAGAGAGAUACUAUAGAUAGAUAGAUAGACAGAGAGAUAGAGAGAUACUGUAGAUAGAUAGAUAGACAGAGAGAUAGAGAGAUACUAUAGAUAGAUAGACAGACAGACAGAGAUACUAUAGAUAGAUAGACAGAGAGAUAGAGAGAUACUGUAGAUAGAUAGAUAGACAGAGAGAUAGAAUAGAUAGAUAGAUAGAUCCAGCUACAGGAUUUAUAAGCAUAAUGCCUUUUGUGACAUUUUUAUUCUUCUUCUUUUUUUAAUAGUUGCUUAUUUAUUAAUUAAUGCAUAUUUAUUUAUCUGUAAUUGAACUUAACGAGCAAUCAAACGAACUCCUGAGCACACGCCAUGAAGCAGUUCUGCGCCUCAGCUGGAUUCCAAAUCCCAGUGUCCGCGUCCUCAGGUGCGUAACUUGAUGCGCCACAGAAACCGCAGCACUUAGACACCCGAAACCCCCGUGUGCUCCUUCAUCUCCCUCUGCUCCAUCCUCCUGCUCCACCAGUCCUCUCCACAUACUC